CACGUAGGGCGCAAGCGUUGUCCGGAAUUAUUGGGCGUAAAGAGCUCGUAGGCGGUCUGUUGCGUCUGCUGUGAAAACUCGGGGCUUAACCCCGAGCCUGCAGUGGAUACGGGCAGACUAGAGGUAGGUAGGGGAGAAUGGAAUUCCCGGUGUAGCGGUGAAAUGCGCAGAUAUCGGGAGGAACACCGGUGGCGAAGGCGGUUCUCUGGGCCUUACCUGACGCUGAGGAGCGAAAGCGUGGGGAGCGAAUGGG
This 253-nucleotide ribosomal RNA is filed under the name uncultured bacterium. RNAcentral's name for it is "partial 16S ribosomal RNA". It matches the Rfam family "Bacterial small subunit ribosomal RNA", at positions 524 to 776 of the family's 1533-position model. The record is from RNAcentral.